RNAcentral lists this ribosomal RNA (591 nucleotides) under uncultured Burkholderia sp. RNAcentral's name for it is "bacterial SSU rRNA". It matches the Rfam family "Bacterial small subunit ribosomal RNA", at positions 418 to 1003 of the family's 1533-position model. Lineage: Bacteria; Pseudomonadati; Pseudomonadota; Betaproteobacteria; Burkholderiales; Burkholderiaceae. The record is from RNAcentral.
UCGGGUUGUAAAGCACUUUUGUCCGGAAAGAAAACUUCUGCCCUAAUACGGCGGGAGGAUGACGGUACCGGAAGAAUAAGCACCGGCUAACUACGUGCCAGCAGCGCGGUAAUCGUAGGGUGCGAGCGUUAAUCGGAAUUACUGGGCGUAAAGCGUGCGCAGGCGGUUCGUUAAGACAGAUGUGAAAUCCCCGGGCUUAACCUGGGAACUGCAUUUGUGACUGGCGAGCUAGAGUAUGGCAGAGGGGGGUAGAAUUCCACGUGUAGCAGUGAAAUGCGUAGAGAUGUGGAGGAAUACCGAUGGCGAAGGCAGCCCCCUGGGCCAAUACUGACGCUCAUGCACGAAAGCGUGGGGAGCAAACAGGAUUAGAUACCCUGGUAGUCCACGCCCUAAACGAUGUCAACUAGUUGUUGGGGAUUCAUUUCCUUAGUAACGUAGCUAACGCGUGAAGUUGACCGCCUGGGGAGUACGGUCGCAAGAUUAAAACUCAAAGGAAUUGACGGGGACCCGCACAAGCGGUGGAUGAAUGUGGAUUAAUUCGAUGCAACGCGAAAAACCUUACCUACCCUUGACAUGGUCGGAACCCUGCUG